Molecule: long non-coding RNA, 1105 nt
Filed under: Macaca mulatta (Rhesus monkey)
Lineage: Eukaryota; Metazoa; Chordata; Mammalia; Primates; Cercopithecidae
Description: lncRNA (ENSMMUG00000062207.1)
Source: RNAcentral
UUUCCAUCGUCAUCGUCAUCAUCAUUCCCAUCAUGAUCAUUGCCCAAGGUGAGUUGUUGCUAAAGACUCAAGCCCCCUGGGGAAGGCCAUAAUUCAUGGAUCUUUUUCUGAAUACAGUUUAAAUUAAGAUAAAAGAAAGGGAGAAACGAGGAGGCACGGGAAGGCUGCAGGCUGAGUCGGUGGAAUAGAAAGCAAGGGGAAGAGGUUAGGGCCAGAAAGGCAGCUUUACAGCUCAUAAUUUCACUGGUUGACUUGACUUGGGCAGCACAGGCUGGUAGAACACACUCUAGCCUGACUUCAUUGAAGUCCCAGCACCACCACCACUAAGCCAUGUAGCUUUGGGCAGGUCACUUGACUUGUUCCUCCAGUUGAAAUCUCUCAUGAGAUUCAAACCCAGCAAUGCACCCAAAUGUUUCGUACGUGCCCCAAAGCAACAUGUACAAAUACAAACUCAUCUUCCUCUUCUCCAGACCUGCCAUCUCUGUAUUAGUGAAAUGAUACCACUGUCUUCCCAGGGAUCAAGGCAGGACACCUACAAGUCAUCUCAGACCUGGCUGCAAUGUCUUACCCAUGGUGAUUGCCACAGUGAGUCACCUGGCUGGUGAAGCCUACAUCCUCUGCCUCUUUCUCUGCUAUGAAAGGGAAGAACUUGGUUUAAAUUGGGAUAUUUCUGAAGAGAAGAAUCAGUUUCCCAAAUGGCAAGUCCUGGACCCAGAGAAGUCAUGUCCAGAAGUGCCUAAUGGAAAGAAAAUAUUCAGACUUCAAGCCAACAGUUGUUCCCGGGAACAAUACCUUCCUGCAAAGAGGAGCCCCUGUCAUGAUGAACCCGUUGCUUUAGAGUAGUGCUGUCCAAUAGAACUUUCUGUGAUAAUGAAAAUGUUCUUUUUUAAAAAAACAAGACAAAACAAAACAAUUUUUAUUUUUGGUUCAGGGAUUCAUGCGAAAAUUUGUUACAUAGGUAAACUCAUGUCAUGAGGUUUGUUGUACAGAUUAUUUCAUCACGCAGGUAUUAAGCCCAAUACUCAAUUGCUAUCUUUUCAGCUCCUCUCCCUCCUCUCACCCUCUACCCUCAAUUAGAGCCCCGUAGCUGAUGUUUCCCUCUUUG